Molecule: transfer RNA, 75 nt
Filed under: Candidatus Buchananbacteria bacterium CG10_big_fil_rev_8_21_14_0_10_33_19
Lineage: Bacteria; Candidatus Buchananiibacteriota
Description: tRNA-OTHER
Rfam family: tRNA
About the family: Transfer RNA (tRNA) molecules are approximately 80 nucleotides in length. Their secondary structure includes four short double-helical elements and three loops (D, anti-codon, and T loops).
Source: RNAcentral
GGAGUGUUAAUUCAAUUGGUUAGAACGUCGGCCACUGCCGAUUAAUGGGGGUUCGAGUCCCUCACGCUCCCGCCA